UACUUCCUAGGAAUGUGUGUAUGAUUCAAGCCAUGUAGCUUGCUCCAUGUUAUGGAAACCAGCAUAAAGAGAUUGGGAAAAGUAGGUAGAAUGAGAGAGGGAUCAAGGGAGAGAGAAAGAGAAAAAGAGACAGAGCAAAAUUUCUAGCACCCCAACUGAGUCCAGCUUACCAGUCGUCUCAGCAAGAUCCCAUAUAUGUAAGCAAACACCGUUUGAAAUUAUAUCCCGGUUGAGCCUCCACACACCCAAUGCCCUUGGUGAUGCAUCACAUGGAGAACUAUCAGCUGAGCUCCAUUGAUCCAUAGAAUCAUGAGAGGAAACAAAUUUGACAAUGUUUUAAGUCACCACAUUUGGGAUGUUUUUUCCAGUCCAAUAGAUGAUUGAAAUAGGCAGAGGGAUAAGUAUAGUGUUGUGGCAGUUUUAUCAGUAAAUUGUUUUUCAACUUCAAAUUCUGCUUUCUUUGGCCCUUCACAUGAUCUUCCUUUGGCAGCCGGCAUGAUUUUUUUACCAGUAGAGGGCGCCAGACACACAUUCCUAGAGGGAGGGCUCUGGGGGUGCUUUCUACGGGCUCCUGGAGAACAUCGUCCUUCCUACUUUGCUUGGCAUUGCUGGGUGCCUGUGGGAUACAUUUCUCCAUAUUUAAGUGUCAGGCAGGUUUUUUUGUUUGUUGAUUGGUUGGUGUUUGCUUGUGCCUUUUCUUUUGUUUUUUUCCCCAGCUCUCCACUCUGGCAGCCAUGUGGAUAGGAGUUCCAGACAGUGCAAACCUGCACUGCAGCCCAGAUGCUUACUCCCUUCACCCUUUCUUCAAGCCCUGGGUCUAGAGCGCUGGGUAUCUGGCGAGCCCACCAUCCAACCUUCAUCUUGCGCAGCCAUCGGAGUUGCCUUGGCCCAAGCUGUAGUCAGAAUGUCUCCUCUUUCAUGAUUUUUCCUGGCUUUCUAAUUGUUUCCAAUGGAAUCACAUAAAGCUCAUCUAGGACUAAGUAGCUGGACGCAGCAGUACCAGGUGAAGAAAUCAAUGCCUUCAUAUGGAGACGGAGAAAUAUGACUCAGUCAGGUGUGACAGCUGCUGCAGCUGCUGUUGGUUCCUCCUGGGGUCUGCUGAGCAGAAUUACAGAAGGCUGGGCUCCCAGAUGUUGCCCAAACCAUGGCCAAUGUUGCUCAUGUUCAUAGUUAAUACUGGAAUCUGCAGUUUCCUGUUGCUGCUGCAGCUGCUGCCUAGAGAAGAAAAAAUUGGCUUCCUCUCACACUGAGCAGAACCUAACUCUAGGCUUUGGUGAUAAGGGAGAAUAAGAUAAUGUCUGAGACGAUAUAUUAUCGUAGAUUGUGUUGUGUUCUCUACUAGUGGUUUUUCUUACAUGAGAAGAUUUGAAACAAGACAAGAGACUGAAUAAAACACUGCAAAAUUUAUUAGAAGAGAAAGAAGAAGGGGCAAGGACGGAAGAGCCCUCAAUGGAGAGAGAAGGUUGUUGAAAACAACACCUUCACCUCUUCGUAUGCCAGCCUUAAUUGGAGCAUGGUGGGAUUGUUAGAUGGUCCCACCACGUAUCACCUUUGGUGUCUGGACUAGAGAUUCCAUUAGCUAACAACCUCAGUGCAACUCUGGGUCAUCUUGGUCCAUGCUGACAGGCCCUAAUUGGAAUGGGUUUUACAGAAUUUAUGGUCAGUGGGCUCUGGUCUUAAUCAUUCUGCUUUCCUAGGUCUGGGAACCUCUGCUAUGUGUUGUUUAGGGUCUUGUUUAAGAUGUCUUGCCAAUUAGGCACUUUUGAAUAGACAUAUCCUUGCCCUUUGAUUCUUACUCCCUAAAUUUAUCUGUCUUCCUCCUGUUGUAAGAGGAAUAGUUUAUAGGGCUGAGAUCAGGCAAGGGUCCUAAAAUAGUAAUCUUGUCAGACCUUGCAGCACCACCAAAGCAGGGCUAUUGAUUAACUCAUUUGUCUAUGCUAAAUAUUUUCUUAAACUCCUCAUUCUCAUGUCUAACUGCUACCUCACACUAUCAAAGAGACCCAGGAAGUGUGGUUUGCAGGAUUUUGACAUGGAAGAAGUACAUAAGGUUCUGGAGGGCCAACUGCCAAUUAUCUUUCUCUUUUCUUCCUGUUUUCUACUCCAUCUUGCCAGACAGUUUGAGUUUUCUCCAGGGUGGGGAGGAAGAUUGGAAAAAGAAAGAUCUGACUUGAACUAAGAGUACAGAGAGCACGUUUGCUGAUUUCUGAGCAUGGCAAAAUUGAGAGAUGACUUUUUCUUUUGUGGGUGGUUUUGUAAGCCUUUUGCAGGUCCUUUACUGGGCUUCUCUCCCAAGGUCACCUAGGGAGCAGAUCCAACAUUAUUCUGUCUAGUUAGCCCUCCUUAUUUGAGAUUCCACAUCCUCAGAUUCAACCAAGAACCAAAACAUAUUUGGAAAAAAAUUUGCAUCUAUACUAAAUAGGUACUGACUUUUUCCUUAUCAUUAUUCUCUACACAAUAUAGUAUAAAAGCUAUUUAUACAGCAUUUAUGUAGUGUUAGGUAUUAUAAAUAAUCCAGUGAUGAUUUGAAGUAUAUGGAAGAAUUGUGUAAGUUAUAUGCAAAUACUAUAUACCUUUUUACCUAAGGGACUUGAGUAUCUGCAGAUUUUGGUAUCCAAGGGUGUCCUGGAACAAAUCCCCCAUGGACCCCGAAGGAUGACUGCACAUAACUUGUGGCUUCUUUAGUCCCUAUUUUUUCAACCAGUUUCCUGACACUGUGAAUCCUCUUCACUUUGUGGAAGCUCAGUUAGAGAGGACCCAAAAUGACCCAUGGCCUUCUCUGAGUCCCAUGUGGCCCACCUCUGGUCUGCAGAAAACAUUUGGUUAUCACUAAUCCAUUUUAUAUUCCGAACCAGAAAUGUGUGAGAGUCCCAGUUUCUCUAUACUUCAACAAUAGUUACUGUAGUCUGCUUUAAAAGAAAAAAAAAAUCAUAGCCAUCUUAGGUGUGUGAAGUAGUAGUGUGUGAAGCUCAUUGUAGUUUUUAAUUUUAUUUCCUUAAUUGAUCAAUAGCAUUGUCACCUUUCAUAUGAUUGUUGACCAUUUGCAUACCUUUUGGGGGGAGAAAUUUCUAUUCAAAUUCUUUGCUUAUUAAAAAUUGAUGAUUUUUUUUGUUGAAUUUUAAGUCUUAUUUAAAUAUUCUAGAUACAAACCCCUUACUAGAGAGGUGAUUUUCUCUCUUCGUGGAUACUCUUAUCACAUUUUUUAUAUUUUUUUAAUUUUUGAUGUUAUCCAAAAUUUUUCAAUUUUGAUAAAGUCCAACUUGUUUAUUUUUUUUCUUUAAAUGUGAGUCUCUUUUUGGACUCAAUCCUACUCCAUUAAUCAUUCUAUCUACCUUUAUGCUGGGAUUACACAGUCUUGAUUACUGUAGCUUUGUAGUAGGUUUUGAAGCCACAAAGUUUGAGUUCUUCACUUUUGUUCUUUUUUUUUUUAAGGCUGUGUUGGUUAAUUUAGGUCCCUUGGAUCUCUAUAUGAAUUUUAGGAUCUGUUUGUCAAUUUCUGCAAAAAAAAAAAAUGCAGCUGGGAUUUUGAUGUAGAUUGUGUUUAAUUUGUAAUCGGUUUAGAAACUAUUGCCAUUUUUAAUAAUAUUAAGUCUUCCAAUCUAUGAAAAUGAGAUACAUUUCAAUUUAUUUAGAUCUUCUUUAAUUUCUUUCAGUAAUGUUUCCUGUGUACAAUUUUUCUGCUGAAUUUAUCCAUAUGUAUUUUAUUCUUUAUACUAUUAAGGAUGACAUGAUCUUUGUAUUUCACUGUUGAAUUUUUCAUUACUAAUGUAUAAAAAUGUAACUACAUUUUCAUAUUGAUUUUGUAUCCUGGAAAUUUGCUGAACUUGUUGAUUAGUUAUAAUCAUGUGUGUGUUCUUUAUAAUUUUUAAUGUUUAAGAUACAUAAGAUUAUUUCAUCUACAAGUAGAGGUUUUUUUUUUUUCCCCUUCUUCUUCAUUUCCAAUCUGGAUGCUUUUUUAUUUAUUUUUCUUCCAUAAAUGUUUUGACAAGAAUUGCAAGUUCAAUGUUGAAUAGAAGUAGUGAAAGAAAACAUCCUUUUUUCCCCCAACCUAAGCUUAAGAGGAAGCAUCUAGGUUUUCAUGGUUAAAUAUGACCUAAUCUUAAGUUUUUCAUAGUUGUCCUUUAUCAGGCUUAAGAAGUUCCCUUCUGUUUAUAGUUUGAUGAGAAUUUCCACCGUGAAAUGCUGUUGAAUUUUUUCAAAUGCUUUUUCUGUAUCUAUUGAGAUGAUUAUGUACCUUUUUUUAAAUCAAUGUAGUAUAUUACAUGAUUGAUUUUAAAAUGUCUAAGUAGCAUUCAUGGGGAAAAAUAAUAGUCAUGGUGUAUAAUCCUUUGUAUAUGUGGCUGGUUUAAGCUUACAAGUGUUUUAUUGAGGUUUGCACAUAAAAUCAUUGAAAAAUGUUUGUUGAACUAAUGCAUGCAUACAUGAAUGAAGGAGUGCUUAGAGUGCAAAGACCUCCCUCAUACAUAGUCCCUUAAAUACAUGCAUACAAAUUUUACACAUAACUUCCAGGAAAUUUAAAAACAUCAGAUUAAAUAGCCUUAAAAAUUUUGAUAUUGCCAAAUGAUCCUGUAGAAUGAUAGUGGUUAUGUCAAAGUAAGAAAAAAAAUAUACUGAUUAGAAUCAAAGGAAGGAGGCUGACAGCCUUGUUUUCUAAUUCAUAGGUGAGAGAACUUAUUUUGACAGCCUCUGUUUCUUCAUCCAUAAAAUGGAUGGGUGGUCAGGGAGCUUGGGGAAGGGUACUUUUGAGUUGAUACCUUGCACAUAGCUGUAACAAUCCACAAAUCUCUAAAAUGCCAUGUAAAAUUUAGAUUUGAAGAGAAUUAUUUUGCAUGUUUUAAAAUUCUUAUUUAAUGUCUCUGAGGUUAUUGUGGAGGCAAAAAUAUAUACAUUAGUUCAACACAGUAUGGUAAACACAAAUCUAUUUAUAGAAGCACAGAAAAGAAAGUGGGUAAUCCCCUUUAAGGGUAUCUGAUUAAACUUUAAGAAAAGAUGGCAUUUGAGCUGAGUUCUGAGAGAUAAAUAGGGGUUUGCAAGUUACAGAAGGCAGGACAGUGAGAAGAUUUUUUUUCCUAUAUUUCUGCUUCUGUUUUCUGUUCAUAAGUUUGUAGCUUAAAUUUUUCAAGAAGCAUUUUUUAACUUCCUUUCUAAAGUGUUCUCAUAAAUAAUUUGUGAAAGAACAAUUCCUUGGUCUUAAGAUGGAAUUUUGUAUAUACAUAGAGAGUUCUAGUGUGUUCUUAUCUUGCUGCUGAAAUUCGAAUUUUCUGGACUGUGCAUGUGAUUAAAGUUAAAUUGACAUGUGGUGUGACUACACAUCGUGUACAACCAGAGAAAUGAAAUGUUGUGCUCCAUUUGUGUACCAUGAAUUGAAAAGCUUUCAAUGUGUAUGUAUAAUAUCAUGUUGCUGGUUUUCAAUGUCAUAUAUAAAUGAUUAGAACUAAUAAAAAAUAAAUUUUAAAAAGUUAAAUUGAA
Non-coding RNA from Ictidomys tridecemlineatus (thirteen-lined ground squirrel), 5466 nucleotides. NCBI's taxonomy places the organism in Eukaryota, Metazoa, Chordata, Mammalia, Rodentia, Sciuridae. The record is from RefSeq and is a predicted model, not a curated record.